RNAcentral lists this unclassified non-coding RNA (677 nucleotides) under Hevea brasiliensis (rubber tree). The record is from RNAcentral. Lineage: Eukaryota; Viridiplantae; Streptophyta; Magnoliopsida; Malpighiales; Euphorbiaceae.
UUCUAUACUUUCUCCUCUGGUAUUUAACAAAUUCCAACCCUUUGAUCCCUAGGAACCUUUUAUAUCUCGAAAUACUUUUCACAUUUUCUAAGCUAAGCCCUUGGUUCACUGCCAUCACAAGUAAUUAACUCAAAUUUUGGUAACAACCCUGAAUUCUCCCCAUUUUCCAUAAAAGAAGAUGCACUAUUUCUUUUUUAUUUCCCUUUGCUACUGCCUUAGGAGCCGGCAAGGUCCCUUUGCUACCUUGCCCUUCUUGCAUCAUAUUCCCUUCAACCUCUUCAUUAACAGUUCCUUUUCCCUUAUCAGAGAAAAAAUCCACUCAUUAUAUUUCGCAUCUCAUCCAAUAAUGCUGUCUUUAUUUCAUCCAUAUCUUGAUCCAUCUUUUGCUCAAUUCUUUGCUCAGUCUUCUUAUCAGUAACUUCUUGCCAGAUCUGAAAUUUAUCCUCCAAUUCAUCCAUCCUAAUAGCUUUUGGACCCAUCACUACACUCCUAGGUAUCUUGCAACACUCACACAAGCUUUUGGAAUCAAAACACACCCUCGAGAAUUGCUCUAAUACCAAAUUAUCAGUAGAAACCAUGGUUUCAAAUUGCGGUCACACGUAACGAAAACAGGCUUAUAAUGGCCGUAGUGUAAUGGUAACGGCCUAGUGCUAUGCAAAUUUUUUUGAAAAAAUUGU